Molecule: unclassified non-coding RNA, 86 nt
Filed under: Chryseobacterium carnipullorum
Lineage: Bacteria; Pseudomonadati; Bacteroidota; Flavobacteriia; Flavobacteriales; Weeksellaceae
Description: Flavo-1 RNA
Source: RNAcentral
UUCUAGCCCCGAUAGGAACGGUUACCCCGCAACUGGAAGCUGGAGUGUGUUGGCGUGAGGAGUAUGAGUGGAUAGCGGGAUGAAGC